This is a long non-coding RNA of Oncorhynchus tshawytscha (Chinook salmon), 2114 nucleotides long. The record is from Ensembl. Lineage: Eukaryota; Metazoa; Chordata; Actinopteri; Salmoniformes; Salmonidae.
CAUCACCAGGGCUCAAUGUAAAGUCACUCCCAUCACCAGGGCUCAAUAUAAAGUCACUAGCGUACCUGAUAACUCUGCCACCAGACUCCCAUCACCAGGGCUCAAUGUAAAGUCACUAGCGUACCUGAUAACUCUGCCACCAGACUCCCAUCACCAGGGCUCAAUGUAAAGUCACUAGCGUACCUGAUAACUCUGCCACCAGACUCCCAUCACCAGGGCUCAAUGUAAAGUCACUCCCAUCACCAGGGCUCAAUGUAAAGUCACUAGCGUACCUGAUAACUCUGCCACCAGACUCCCAUCACCAGGGCUCAAUGUAAAGUCACUCCCAUCACCAGGGCUCAAUGUAAAGUCACUAGCGUACCUGAUAACUCUGCCACCAGACUCCCAUCACCAGGGCUCAAUGUAAAGUCACUAGUGUACCUCAUAACUCUGCCACCAGACUCCCAUCACCAGGGCUCAAUGUAAAGUCACUAGUGUACCUCAUAACCUUAAUUACAGUCCAGCACCAUUUAUCAAUGUCAAUGCGAAUUAUAAAUAUGAUCAAUAUUUUAUCCAACUUCGUAAUAUUAUUGAUUAUUGAUCGCCAUGUUAGGGGCUACAGCUAAUUGCACAUUAAAACUGUACUGUAUAAGAGUACUAUAGCAGUACUGACUUUAACUGUACUGUAUGAGAGUACUAUAGCAGAACUGACUUAAACUGUACUGUAUAAGAGUACUAUAGCAGUACUGACUUAAACUGCACUGUACAAGAGUACUACAGCAGUACUGACUUAAACUGUACUGUAUAAGAGUACUAUAGCAGUACUGACUUAAACUGUACUGUAUAAGAGUACUAUAGCAGUACUGACUUAAACUGUACUGUAUAAGAGUACUAUAGCAGUACUGACUUAAACUGUACUGUAUAAGAGUACUAUAGCAGUACUGACUUAAACUGUACUGUAUAAGAGUACUACAGCAGUACUGACUAAAUAUGAGUACUAGUCUAGUACUAUGGUGAUGCAUUUCCACUGAGUCUUAACCCCACACCAGUGGUUAGCCAGUGUUUUAUGUUAUAUAUUCCCUACACAGUCCCUAUUCCCUAUACAGUCCCUAUUCCCUACACAUCCCUAUUCCCUACACAGUCCCUAUUCCCUACACAGUCCCUAUUCCCUACACAGUCCCUAUUCCCUACACAGUCCACUCCUUCUGACUAUACAGGGAAUAUAUCAGGAUGUGAUCUGGACUGUAACCCAUGUCUAUGGCCCUGCUCAGUCCCUAGGGAAUAUAUCAGGAUGCCAUUUGGACUGUAACCCAUGUCUAUGGCCCUGCUCAGUCCCUAGGGAAUAUAUCAGGAUGUGAUCUGGACUGUAACCCAUGUCUAUGGCCCUGCUCAGUCCCUAGGGAAUAUAUCAGGAUGUGAUCUGGACUGUAACCCAUGUCUAUGGCCCUGCUCAGUGUAUAGAAACCUCUGUAAUAGUAAAACUAUUACAUACAUCCAGGUUGUUAUCGAGUCUCUCUCUCUCGUUAUGGUUAUUAAUAUUGUAUGGUUUGGUUAAUGAAUGCAUCAACAGGGAGUUAUGAAAAAGGACACGUAGUUUCUAACAUGAAAUGAAAUAAUGCUAUAACUAAAAUAGGUUUGGGUAAAUUGUUUGUGAUUUCAUCCUGUGAGCUAUAGUCCGGCUUGCCGGACAUACAGAGGCUGUGUGGAGAGACUAGGCAUCCCAUUCCCUAUGUAGUGCACUACUUCUGUGGGCCCUUGCCAAAGAGAAUGCACUAUGUAGGGGAUUGCACGCCAUUUGGGGCACAGCAAACGUGUGAGAAAAUACAGUGCCUGACAAUAGUAUUUCAUCCCCCUUGGCGUUUUUCCUAUUUUGUUGCUUUACAACCUGUAAUUUAAAUGGAUUUUUAUUUGGAUUUCAUGUAAUGGACAAACAAAGAAAAUAGUCCAAAUUGGUAAAGUGAAAUAAAAUAAAAAACUUGUUUCAAAAAUAUCUAAAUAACGGAAAAGUGGUGUGUGUGCAUAUGUAUUCUUUACUAUGAAGCCCCUAAAUAAGAUCUGGUGCAACCAAUUACCUUCAGUCACAUAAUUAGUUAAAUAAAGUCCACCUGUGUGCAAUCUAAGUGUCACAUGAUCUG